UGGGGAAUAUUGCACAAUGGGCGCAAGCCUGAUGCAGCCAUGCCGCGUGUGUGAAGAAGGCCUUCGGGUUGUAAAGCACUUUCAGCGAGGAGGAAGGUGGUGAACUUAAUACGUUCAUCAAUUGACGUUACUCGCAGAAGAAGCACCGGCUAACUCCGUGCCAGCAGCCGCGGUAAUACGGAGGGUGCAAGCGUUAAUCGGAAUUACUGGGCGUAAAGCGCACGCAGGCGGUUUGUUAAGUCAGAUGUGAAAUCCCCGGGCUCAACCUGGGAACUGCAUUUGAAACUGGCAAGCUAGAGUCUCGUAGAGGGGGGUAGAAUUCCAGGUGUAGCGGUGAAAUGCGUAGAGAUCUGGAGGAAUACCGGUGGCGAAGGCGGCCCCCUGGACGAAGACUGACGCUCAGGUGCGAAAGCGUGGGG
This 419-nucleotide ribosomal RNA is filed under the name uncultured bacterium. RNAcentral's name for it is "partial 16S ribosomal RNA". It matches the Rfam family "Bacterial small subunit ribosomal RNA", at positions 355 to 766 of the family's 1533-position model. The record is from RNAcentral.